CCCUGCCCGCCUACGGGAGGCAGCAGUAGGGAAUAUUGGACAAUGGGCGCAAGUCUGAUCCAGCCAUACCGCGUGGGUGAAGAAGGCCUUCGGAUUGUAAAACUCUUUUGUUGGGAAAGAAAUCCAGCCGGAUUAAACCUUGAUGCGAUGACGGUAUCCAACGAAUAAGCCCCGGCUAACUUCGUGCCAGCAGCCGCGGUAAUACGAAGGGUGCAAGCGUUAUUCGGAAUUAUUGGGCGUAAAGCGUGCGCAGGCGGUUUUUUAAGUCCGAUGUGAAAGCCCCCGGCUCAACCGGGGAGGGUCAGUGGAUACUGGAUGACUAGAGUGUGGAAGAGGGUAGCGGAAUUCCAUGUGUAGCAGUGAAAUGCGUAGAGAUCAGGAGGAACACCCAUGGCGAAGGCAGCUACCUGGUCCAACACUGACACUGAGGCUCGAAAGCGUGGGGAGCAAACAGGAUUAGAUACCCUGGUAGUCCACGCCGUAAACGAUGAGAACUGGAUGUUGGAGGCAUCCGCCAUGCAGUAUCGCAGCUAA
RNAcentral lists this ribosomal RNA (534 nucleotides) under uncultured Stenotrophomonas sp. RNAcentral describes it as "bacterial SSU rRNA". It matches the Rfam family "Bacterial small subunit ribosomal RNA", at positions 329 to 855 of the family's 1533-position model. The record is from RNAcentral. Lineage: Bacteria; Pseudomonadati; Pseudomonadota; Gammaproteobacteria; Lysobacterales; Lysobacteraceae.